RNAcentral lists this transfer RNA (68 nucleotides) under Mileewa sharpa. RNAcentral's name for it is "tRNA-Gln". The record is from RNAcentral. Lineage: Eukaryota; Metazoa; Arthropoda; Insecta; Hemiptera; Cicadellidae.
UAUAAAAUAGUGUAAAAGGCACGUUAAAUUUUGAUUUUAAAAGACAAGUUUAAUUCUUGAUUUUAUAA